CCCUUAGAUGUUCUGGGCCGCACACGCGCUACACUGAAGGAGGCAGCGUGUACUCCUGGAUCGAAAGAUUUGGGUAACCCGCGAAUCUCCUUCGUGCUAGGGAUUGAGGUUUGCAAUUAUCCUUCGUGAACGAGGAAUUCCCAGUAAGUGCAAGUCAUAAGCUUGCGCUGACUACGUCCCUGCCCUUUGUACACACCGCCCGUCGCUACUACCGAUUGAAUGAUUUAGUGAGGACUUCGGACUGGGACCGAUGCGGCUUUCGGGCUGCGUCGGUAUUCUGGAAAGAUGUCCAAACUGUAUCAUUUAGAGGAAGUAAAAGUCGUAACA
This 327-nucleotide ribosomal RNA is filed under the name uncultured eukaryote. RNAcentral describes it as "partial 18S ribosomal RNA". It matches the Rfam family "Eukaryotic small subunit ribosomal RNA", at positions 1470 to 1796 of the family's 1831-position model. The record is from RNAcentral.